AGUGAACGCUGGCGGUAGGCCUAACACAUGCAAGUCGAACGGCAGCACAGGAGAGCUUGCUCUCUGGGUGGCGAGUGGCGGACGGGUGAGGAAUACAUCGGAAUCUACUCUGUCGUGGGGGAUAACGUAGGGAAACUUACGCUAAUACCGCAUACGACCUACGGGUGAAAGCAGGGGAUCUUCGGACCUUGCGCGAUUGAAUGAGCCGAUGUCGGAUUAGCUAGUUGGCGGGGUAAAGGCCCACCAAGGCGACGAUCCGUAGCUGGUCUGGGAGGGUGAGCAGCCACACUGGAACUGGGACACGGUCCAGACUCCUACGGGAGGCAGCAGUGGGGAAUAUUGGACAAUGGGCGCAAGCCUGAUCCAGCCAUACCGCGUGGGUGAAGAAGGCCUUCGGGUUGUAAAGCCCUUUUGUUGGGAAAGAAAUCCAGCUGGCUAAUACCCGGUUGGGAUGACGGUACCCAAAGAAUAAGCACCGGCUAACUUCGUGCCAGCCGCCGCAGUAA
This 506-nucleotide ribosomal RNA is filed under the name uncultured bacterium. RNAcentral describes it as "partial 16S ribosomal RNA". It matches the Rfam family "Bacterial small subunit ribosomal RNA", at positions 29 to 523 of the family's 1533-position model. The record is from RNAcentral.